Bombyx mori (domestic silkworm) is the source of this 1229-nucleotide long non-coding RNA. RefSeq lists it as uncharacterized. Lineage: Eukaryota; Metazoa; Arthropoda; Insecta; Lepidoptera; Bombycidae. The record is from RefSeq and is a predicted model, not a curated record. The transcript is spliced from 2 exons.
CCGUUUUCAAUAACCUAUCUAUCCCUAGUUUCGGUUACUAAAGAUAGACAAAUCUAUAUUUUUGUCCUUACUUACGUUCCAAUAACCUAUCGACGGGCAGCAGUUCCUAUCGGAUUUAUCUAUCCAUCGUCGGGAGGACGGAUAGCCUGCUAAAGAUAGAACGCUCAUACAAAUCGUGCUUACUUCCGUUUCAAUAUGAGUUUUAAGUAACUCUCCGGUAGGCGGCGCUAUCUCUAGUAUGGGCAUUCGCUUAUCUGUCAAAAUCGGCCGGUUACAUGUUUAUCUUUCGAAAGUAAAUCGCUAUAAUUUAAUAAUUGUUUCUCUUCAUAUUGGCAUAUUGUAGCAGUGAUGAUAGUGAUAUGGAAUUAUUACAAAUGAUAAUGGAUUGUGAUGCAGAUAGUGAUAGUGAGGCCGAUAUCAUAUGGUUAGGAAAAUAAAGAUCGUCUGAAUUACAUGGCGAAGAUCAAUAAUUACGAAUUUGACUGUAGAUUUCUGAGCAAAGGUGUUGUGAAUGAAUUGAUUAAUUUAAUGAGACCAUAUUUGAGUGUAACGUCAAAAGGGUAAGAUAAAUUUUAACCAUAAAAGUACUCGUUAUUACAACUUAUAUUUGUUUAUAGCAAUAGCAAAAUUAUACCUAAUUUUUGUUGUGUUACAAAAUCACACUCAACAGGAAUUCUAUAAUACUGCUGGAUUCCCAUGGUGCCCUAAAUGACAUUCAUAUACUAAUACAAUAACCUGGUAGGCUAUUUACCUUCAUUCUUAUUACACACUGAUACCUCUACAUUUUAUAUUUGUGUUACAGAUUCAAAUAUAGGAGAGGAAUUUAGAAAUAGAAAAAGAGUAUUUUGAAUGUGUAAUUUGUGUGCAAUGCAUCAUUGAUGUUUCAAAAUGUUGUUGCUUGAUGGCCUGGGUCUACUCAUGAUACAACUAUAAUUAACCAUUCCGAUUGAAAAGAUGCAUUGGUGUUUGUAAAAGAAGACUCCCUGUAUUAUCAUUGAAAAGUAGAUUAAAACUAGAAAAUAUGCAAGCUGUUAUUAUAGCUGCCAUGCUGCAUAAUAUCGUCAGGAGUAUGAAUUUAGAAGAAUUAGAAUCAGAAAUUUCAGUCGCAGAUACAUUACAGGAAAAUAAUAUAAUUGUUCGUAACAAUUUUCCAGAACGUACAUCUGAAAUACAACUACUUAUAAAUAAUUGCUUCCAAAGAUAAUUUAUAAAAUAAACUCCAAUGAUAA